GAUGAACGCUGGCGGCGUGCCUAAUACAUGCAAGUCGAGCGAACAGAUGAGGAGCUUGCUCCUCUGACGUUAGCGGCGGACGGGUGAGUAACACGUGGAUAACCUACCUAUAAGACUGGGAUAACUUCGGGAAACCGGAGCUAAUACCGGAUAAUAUAUUGAACCGCAUGGUUCAAUAGUGAAAGACGGUUUUGCUGUCACUUAUAGAUGGAUCCGCGCCGCAUUAGCUAGUUGGUAAGGUAACGGCUUACCAAGGCAACGAUGCGUAGCCGACCUGAGAGGGUGAUCGGCCACACUGGAACUGAGACACGGUCCAGACUCCUACGGGAGGCAGCAGUAGAGAAUCUUCCGCAAUGGGCGAAAGCCUGACGGAGCAACGCCGCGUGAGUGAUGAAGGUCUUCGGAUCGUAAAACUCUGUUAUUAGGGAAGAACAAAUGUGUAAGUAACUAUGCACGUCUUGACGGUACCUAAUCAGAAAGCCACGGCUAACUACGUG
RNAcentral lists this ribosomal RNA (497 nucleotides) under uncultured bacterium. RNAcentral describes it as "partial 16S ribosomal RNA". It matches the Rfam family "Bacterial small subunit ribosomal RNA", at positions 28 to 507 of the family's 1533-position model. The record is from RNAcentral.